UACAAGUUUCUACAGAUCUCAUUUCAUUUUCUCUAUGCUAUUUUCUCAAUUUAUAAUUUUGAUCUGAUCGUCUACAAUGAAGAUGACCCCACCCUUGUGAUCCAUGAGGAAGUCAAGGCCAAGAAGAGUUCGAGAAGUUCGGAACACUCCCGACCAGUCUUCCACUGAUAACUAGAAGUUUGAGCGAGUUCUGGCAAUCAUCAGAGAUAGCUUAAAGAUGGACUCGAGCUUGCUGCAAGAGAAGAUAAAUAUGCAAGUCAAAUUUGCAAUCAAGAACGAUGUCACCGAACUGAUUGAUAUCUCAACAAUAUUUGUUGUGGAUGGUUGCGUAGCACGAAUUGCUGCCAAGCUAGAGUCAAUGGAACUCUGCGCUAGUGUAAAAGGCAGGCAUAUUCUUUGCACUUUUCCCAAAGGAUAUUGAUUUUGUUGUCCUUGUACGAAAGAAAUCAAUACUCAAGGUUCAUACACAUUUGAUCUUGAAUUUGUAUAUGCAGGAGUGAAUAUUGUAUGAUCAAGGUUUUUAAUUUUCCUAGUUAAAAAAAUAGUUAUAAAACU
Long non-coding RNA from Malus domestica (apple), 555 nucleotides. RefSeq lists it as uncharacterized. Lineage: Eukaryota; Viridiplantae; Streptophyta; Magnoliopsida; Rosales; Rosaceae. The record is from RefSeq and is a predicted model, not a curated record.